This 257-nucleotide long non-coding RNA is filed under the name Cyanistes caeruleus (blue tit). RNAcentral describes it as "lncRNA (ENSCCEG00000019465.1)". Lineage: Eukaryota; Metazoa; Chordata; Aves; Passeriformes; Paridae. The record is from RNAcentral.
UUUUGGCGGGGGCAGCGCCGGCUGCGGAGGGAAACGCUUGGCUCUCCGGGACCGGCGCCUGCCGCGGUGCGGAUGCGUAUGGACGAAUCCUCGUGAAAACAGCUCCCGACGUUUUCCCCCACCCCCCCCAAAAAAAAAAACCAAACCCAAACAAACCACCCACUUGGAUAAUUAAAACGGUUUUUGGCAGUAUCCAGUGUUGCUAAGGAUGAUUUAAUUCCUACUACCGGUCCUAUUCCCAGAGGCAGCUUCUCCAA